CCUACGGGAGGCAGCAGUGGGGAAUAUUGGACAAUGGGCGCAAGCCUGAUCCAGCAAUGCCGCGUGUGUGAAGAAGGCCUUCGGGUUGUAAAGCUCUUUUGUCCGGGAAGAAAGCGCGCGGGCUAAUACCCGGGGGGACUGACGGUACCCGAAGAAAAAGCCCCGGCUAACUUCGUGCCAGCAGCCGCGAUAAUA
This 195-nucleotide ribosomal RNA is filed under the name uncultured bacterium. RNAcentral's name for it is "partial 16S ribosomal RNA". It matches the Rfam family "Bacterial small subunit ribosomal RNA", at positions 338 to 525 of the family's 1533-position model. The record is from RNAcentral.